GUGUCAGCCGCCGCGGUAAUACAGAGGUCCCAAGCGUUGUUCGGAUUCACUGGGCGUAAAGGGUGCGUAGGUGGCUGGGUAAGUCUCGUGUGAAAUCCCACGGCUCAACCGUGGAACGGCACGGGAUACUAUUUGGCUGGAGGGUUGGAGGGGGGACUGGAAUUCUCGGUGUAGCAGUGAAAUGCGUAGAUAUCGAGAGGAACACCUGUGGCGAAGGCGGGUCCCUGGACAACUCCUGACACUGAGGCACGAAAGCUAGGGGAGCAAACAGGAUUAGAUACCCUGGUAGUCCUAGCCUUAAACGGUGCACGUUUGCUGUGAGCGGAAUCGACCCCGCUCGUGGCGGAGCUAACGCGUUAAACGUGCCGCCUGGGGAGUACGGCCGCAAGGUUAAA
This 395-nucleotide ribosomal RNA is filed under the name uncultured bacterium. RNAcentral's name for it is "bacterial SSU rRNA". It matches the Rfam family "Bacterial small subunit ribosomal RNA", at positions 505 to 898 of the family's 1533-position model. The record is from RNAcentral.